Molecule: non-coding RNA, 30 nt
Filed under: Cricetulus griseus (Chinese hamster)
Lineage: Eukaryota; Metazoa; Chordata; Mammalia; Rodentia; Cricetidae
Source: RNAcentral
ACUAGUAGAAAAGGAAAAGCAAGUUACGAC